Aethalodelphis obliquidens (Pacific white-sided dolphin) is the source of this 2007-nucleotide RNA transcript. It is a transcript of the gene named ribonuclease H2 subunit B, with no coding region annotated. Lineage: Eukaryota; Metazoa; Chordata; Mammalia; Artiodactyla; Delphinidae. The record is from RefSeq and is a predicted model, not a curated record. The transcript is spliced from 13 exons.
GGCGACGCGCCAGUGGGCCGGCGGCCUGGGCCUGGCGCUCAGUUUAAAAGCUUAACCGGGACCGCUGGCGGGCUCCGGAAACGAAACGAAAUUCGCCCCGCUGGCCGCCCUCCGGGCCCUGCCAGUCCCUCCGCGCGCCGCGCUCCCCGGAAUCGACCCUUCUCCCGCCAUUUGCCACCGGGCUCUCGCUGAGCCCGCCCUCCCAGGGCUCAGAGGCCUGCGGCCGCCGGAACCGAACGGGCGGCAUGGCGGCAGGCGUGGACUGCGGAGAAGGGGCUAGCGCCCGGCAGCACGUGUUCCUAGUCCCAGAGUAUUUAAAAGAUGCUUCAAAGAAGAUGAAAAGUGGGCUUAUGUUUGUAAAACUGGUUAACCCGUGUUCAGGGGAAGGAGCCAUUUACUUGUUCAAUGUGUGUCUACCACAGCUGUUUGAAAUAAAAGUUUUCAAGGAAAAACACCAUUCUUGGUUUAUAAAUGAAUCAGUUCAAUCAGGAGGUCUUCUUCACUUUGCCACACCCAUGGACCCUCUGUUUCUGCUUCUCCACUACCUUAUAAAGGCUGAUAGAGAGGGAAAGUUUCAGCCCCUGGAACAAGUUGUGAUGGAUGACAUGUUUCCGAAUUGCAUCUUGUUGCUGAAACUUCCUGAACUUGAGAAGUUACUUCGACAUGUGACAGAGGAGAAAGAAAUAGACAAGAAGAAAUAUUACAAGUACAGCAAAGAGAAGACAUUAAAAUGGCUGGAAAAAAAGGUUAAUCAGACUAUGGCAGCGUUAAAAACCAAUAAUGUAAAUGUCGGUGCCCGGGUACAGUCUACUGCAUUUUUCUCUGGUGACCCGGUUUCCAGUGACAAGGAAGAGGAUUAUAUUUGUUAUGCCCAUGGUCUGAUAUCGGAUUACAUCCCUAAAGAAUUGAGUGAUGACUUAUCUAAAUAUUUAAAGCUUCCAGAACCUCCAGCUUCAGUGCCAAGCCCUCCAUCAAAGAAAGUAAAGUUAUCAGAUGAGCCCAUAGAAGCAAAAGAAGAUUACACUAAGUUUAACACUAAAGAUUUGAAGACUGUAAAGUUAUAUCUCCUAACUGGCUAUUUUGUGCAGCUGUAGUUGUAAGGCAGGGCGCCAUAGGAGCCAGGAGAGUGACACCCAACCCAAAGGGCAAAAGGAUGAGAGAAAGGCUACUUAAACUCUUGAAUUAUCACCCCUGUUGAAGGUGGCAGCACAAAGACAGAAAAGGGACAAGUGACAAAAGAUCCACGCAAGACUUGGCUGCUUCUCACGUGAUUUAAGACACUCCCAAAGGGCUAAAACUUUUUCUUCUGCACUUCCUAGAAAAUCACCAACUGCCAAGAGAUGUAAAGGACUAACCAGGAAUGUUUUAUUUCUGUGAUCAAUACCGCUAGUCCCUUCAGGCAGCAGCAACUCCCCCUGGAGGCGUCUGGCAUGGAACUAGAAAGCACCCCUAGUGUGAUUCUGCCCUGAGGAAUUCAAGCCAUAUCACCCCUCUGCCCCAGCCUACCCCACCAUAAAGGUAUGGGUUUUUAACAGUCUGGUGCUUCAGAUUUCAAAACAUUGGGAGGAGACGGCUCAUUGUGAAAAUCGGGUCAUUUCUUAAGCUGGACCCUGUUGGCCUGCUGUUUUCCUGGGGUCAGGACAGCACUUUUAGGUUUUCAUGUGGUGACUGUAAGUACUAGAUUCCACACCAGAAGACUUGACAGACCGAGUUUCUACCCUUAUUAAAAAAAAGAAAAAGGGGGAAUUGCCGGGAGGACCAGGGGGAGUAGUCAGCACGUUCACUGCCAUGGCAGGGGUUCAGUCCCUGGUCAGGGAGACAGGAUCCGCAAGCUGCAUGGUGCAGCCCCCCCCCCCCCUCAAAAAAAGAAAAAAGAAAGCCUGCCCUUUCUUUACUCCUUAUCAGUUUGGCAGCUUCUAGUUCAUAACAAUACCUGAACAUGUGCAUUUUAUGGUGUGCCGGAGUUGUAAACAUUGCUUCAUUUUUAAAAGAUUUGUCCAAUGUGUG